RNAcentral lists this ribosomal RNA (460 nucleotides) under uncultured bacterium. Its description in RNAcentral is "partial 16S ribosomal RNA". It matches the Rfam family "Bacterial small subunit ribosomal RNA", at positions 338 to 795 of the family's 1533-position model. The record is from RNAcentral.
CCUACGGGUGGCAGCAGUGAGGAAUAUUGGUCAAUGGACGAGAGUCUGAACCAGCCAAGUAGCGUGAAGGAUGACUGCCCUAUGGGUUGUAAACUUCUUUUAUAUGGGAAUAAAAUGUUCCACGUGUGGGAUUUUGUAUGUACCAGAUGAAUAAGGCUCGGCUAACUCCGUGCCAGCAGCCGCGGUAAUACGGAGGAUCCGAGCGUUAUCCGGAUUUCUUGGGGUUAAAGGGAGCGUAGGUGGAUUGUUAAGUCAGUCGUGAAAGUUUGCGGCUCAACCGUAAAAUUGCAGUUGACACUGGCAGUCUUGAGUACAGUAGAGGUAGGCGGAAUUCGUGGUGUAGCGGUGAAAUGCUUAGAUAUCACGAAGAACUCCGAUUGCGAAGGCAGUUCACUGGACUGCAACUGACGCUGAGGCUCGAAAGUGUGGGUAUCGAACAGGAUUAGAUACCCUAGUAGUC